Limulus polyphemus (Atlantic horseshoe crab) is the source of this 4127-nucleotide long non-coding RNA. RefSeq lists it as uncharacterized. The transcript has 8 exons. The record is from RefSeq and is a predicted model, not a curated record. Lineage: Eukaryota; Metazoa; Arthropoda; Merostomata; Xiphosura; Limulidae.
AAACCGGGUUUUGAUACCCGUGGUGGGCAGAGCACAGAUAGCCCGAUAUGUAGCUUUGUGCCUAAAUUACAUACAACAAAUAUUCAAUGGAGAAAACAGGUAUUAUCUUCAAAGAAGAAGAAAGACACCUUGGACGAAGUCAACUUCAGUGGAUUUCUGGACCAUGUAUUAAGGGAAACUGCAUACGCUUAGAAUAAACAGAAAACAUUGAAAAUGUUUACAUUAAAAUGAGAAGGUAGAAAAUGCAUGGUAUUGCUGUAUAGCACAAUAAGUCUUAUAACCUACUUGUUAGUUAUAAGUUUACCUGAGAAUACCACAAGAGUUUUCCGUAAAUAUGGAAAUCUAUUUUCUAAUGGUCGUUAUAACAACGUCUUGAUUCAUAAAAAAACCUCAAAAUCUCAAAUAAAUGCGACCAAAGUAAUUAAGCUUAAGUGAAAUGUGGAAUAACGGAUGCAGUAAAAGCAAAAGAUUUUAUUUAAUUAUCAAUUCAGGUCAAGACUCUUCCCCCAACCAGUGCUAGAAUGAAAUUCAUGUGUCACUUUUUUCUUUCCUUGUUGUGUCAGGUUUUCUAUACCUGUUGUCAGUAUUUUGCAGCUUACUUGCCAAUAAUAUUGAUACGAUGUAAUUUAGUUAGUAUGAACGAAAAUCGUGUGUUUAAGUACUUAAGAAGAAGUUAUGUAUUUACAAAUUACCUUGCAUUUUAUUAGUUAUUUAUAGAUACGUAUGCAGAGAUAUAUAUAUUGGAUCCACUGUACAUCUUAUGAGCUGAUAAGAGAGCACUCAGACAGCAGAAAUAAGGAAAGUCUCAGAAUAGUCUAAUGUGUGGAAUAGUUGUUGCCAAAACGACUGAAUUCUUGAUCAUCAGUUCAGUGGGAACUUGUGGUGAGUGCCUAAGCCGUUAGGAGAACAAUUUAGACAAAGAUAGAAAAAAGUAAAGGAGUUUGUGAAUAACCAGGAGGACAACAAAUUUAACCAACUGUUCCCUCAUCUUGAUUUGUUUUGGGUACCAUCUUACUGGUCGGGAAAAAUCCUCAACCUUCCAAUCUCUUUCUAGAUAUGAUUUUUCAGGAGUAACUGUUGUGACGACUUCUUGGAUAUGUAGACACAGUUCUUUCUUACUUGGAACCUUAUUAGCAUAAACCAAGUCCUUUGUGAAGAAACAUAAAGAAUCCAUAAGUGUAAUGUCUGGAGAAUGUGUCGGCCAGCUGAUUGGACCUCUCUGUCGACUCCACUGACUGAUUGGAGGAUAUUUCAUCAAGUAUGUUACAGGUGCUAAGGCUCUUGUCUGGUCGAGCACUGUCCUGUUGAAAUAACAUGUUAAUAAUAUCUACCAGUGAUAUAAACAUUAUUUUUCCAUAUGAAACAAAUGGUAUAUCUUUAUACCACCCUGUUUCAAGGCAAUUAGACUAUUACUAACAGAUCCAUGGUGCAACUAUGGACUUUCCAAUUUCAAUGAUUGUAGUAGACUUAGUUAUGGAAUCUUAAGAAAUGAAAAACUUGAAGGACUUCUUAUACAGAAUUAAAAGUUGGUAGAGCAGUUGGUGAAUCUAAGCCAAAGAAAAAUUACCAGAAGAAAAACUGCUGCACAACAUGGAGUCGUCCUAUAACUCUGACAUAAGGCCCAAGAACAGGCUUUUAUUGUGACAGGGUCUCUCAAAGAGGACAGUAUGUCGAUUUCAGUGUUACUGGUGUCAAAAGAUGUUUUUUCACAAAAGUCAUGCAGAGCGGCACCAGUUUUAUCACUGUAAAAAAAGACCAGCUAAUCUGCAAAAGCAGUUUGUUUGUGAACUUUGUAAGAAAGAAUAUUGUAGACCUGAAUUGUUGGAACAACACAAAAUUAUGUACCAUUAAAAAGUAGAAAUAUUGUGAUGGUUUAAAAGUCAGUAAUAACUGAAAGUUAGGUAUGGUGAGAGCAAACACUCGAUUUCUUUGUCACUGGUGCCAAAAAACAUUUAUUCACAAAAGUCAUGCAGAACGACACCAACUAUACCACUGUAAGAAGAGGCCACCAGGUUUAGUCAGAGAAAGAUUCAUCUGUGAAUAUUGUCAAAAGGAUUAUUGUCGGCCAGAGGUGUUGCAACAGCACAGGUUAAUGUGUAGCAUGAAAAGAGAAGGAACACUGUGGAAGAAUUUGAUGGGAACAGAUUACUGUAAUUGAAUUGAAGAUGUGCCUUUAUAGUUCAGUUAAAAUUGUAACCACUUGCUCAUUUUUAUGGUACAGUAGGAGGUCUUAGUAUAUUAUUGUUUUAUCUGGUGAUUAGUAUACAAAAUCAGAUGUAAAGCUGUGGUCUUUUAGAGUUAUUUGUAUUGAAACAAAAAUGCUUAGAAUAAUGAUUUCAGGAAGUUCUUUUUUAAUAGGGUUUAAAGAGGUUAUGCAUGGUUUGUGCAAUUAGAGCAGUAUUAGUCAUUGUUAAUUAUUAAAAGUAAUACAAUUACAUAUUGUAUAGGAACUAACUUGAGAUAAGUUUAUUCAUUUAAAACCGUUUUUCUUUAAGAAAUAUAUAUAUUAAAUUAGAGAACUUUUUAUGCAAUUCAGUUGGUUUUGUUUGCUUACUUGUGUAUCAAUUGUGAUAUGUACACCUAGUGACAAUGUGUUGAAAAUUUUCUCAUGCAUAUUUAUGAUUGAUUUUAGAUGGAAAGAAAUAUGCUACUGAAACUGAACUAUUUAUAUUUGUGAGUUUGAGUUGAUCCAAAGAAAGUGUUGUUUGUUUGUAAAAUAUAUUAACUAAAGAAUGCCAUUGCAUUUACAAUCAGUGUACAGUAAUUAUGGUUUGGUCACUUGAUAGUUUUACCAUUAGUUCAUUCGAUCUAAUUGUUUUAAUUAAAAUUGUGGAAUUGAAGAAUGACAUUGUAUUAAUAGUCGACUGUACAUCUUUGGUUAGUUAUUAAUCUCCCUUUAGUGUUAUACUUGAGCUUACUGAAAGUGUUAUCACCAUUAUGAGGGGGGUGUAAACAUUAGAAAUUGACAUUAAUACAGAGUUAUGUUUAGUUUGUUCAAGUGAGAACACAGUUUAAAGUAGGUAGGUGACAGUCAAGAUAGGCAUAUCUUCUGCUUUCCUUUCCCUGCCUGAAGUUUCAGUUCAGUGAGGUAAGUCCAUUUGUAGUCUGACUCAUUUUGAGUGGUUCUUUAAUUGAAGCCAUUUUCUUCUAUUAGUUAGUUUAAUAUAUGUAAGAACCAACCAUCUCUGAAAGACUUAGUUUGAUCUUAACUCUUAGAGGUUCUCUUCAAACUAAUACAAUUUUAUAAUCACAAGCAAGCAUAAUCCAUUAAUGAUACAGCCAGUUGUGAAAGGUGCAAUAAUUAUGGUAAUAAAGUAAAAUAUCUUACCAUUAUCAUUUUAUAAUUGACAUAAUUUCAUGUAUACAGAGCCAUCUUUGGCUUUGAAAAUAAAGUUUUAUUUGUGUUUUAUUACACUGUCAUUUUACAAGUUUUCAUUGUCAUCUGGACAAAAUUUAGUUCACUGGGAAAACAAAUAACAGUAAAAGUUUAAUUAGAUCAAGUUGUAUCUGUAUACUGCAUUCUUUGUUCACGUUCCAGGAUUUUGAUAUACACCACCUUAAUUCUAUGUUUAUGACAUUAUACAUUGAGGCUAAAAUUCUUUAUAUAUUUGUUGCAAUUUUUUCCACAUUAAAGCUAUAGCUUUCAUCAUUUGUUGAAACACCGACAUAUUGGUGUAUAGAGCUGGGUUAUUUAGCCAAUAUAAUCGAUUACCUAUGACCAUUGAUUUCACUGAAUAGCAUCAUGUAAACUAAUUGUUUAAUUAUGAUUAAAUCAAUUACUGUUAUGAAAAUAAUCAAUUAAUCAAAGUUAGUAUUCUUAACCCACAUUUUGACCAUCCUAAGACACCAGCCGUGAAAGGACAGAACACAACGGAAGACACCAUGGCAGAACUUUCAAAAAAAUGUGUCGAGUAUCUUAGGGAAGUUUCAUAAUUACACAAUGAAACCUAAUUUAUCUUUUGAGGAGGAGAAAGCUUUGUAUAAAUUAAAAAGUAAUAUCAACAUUAUAGUUAAAGAAUCCAAUAAAAGUAAAGGGUUUGUAACUUUAGCAAAGGAUAGCUUUGAUAAAAAUAUUUAUACUCAUUUAUCAAAUGAAGAAAAUAUCUAAAAUUAAACAAAGAUCCUAC